AUUGAACGCUGGCUGCAGGCUUAACACAUGCAAGUCGAGCGAGCGGCGGACGGGUGAGUAAUGUCUGGGAAACUGCCUGAUGGAGGGGGCUAACUACUGGAAACGGUAGCUAAUACCGCAUACCAUCAGAUGUGCCCCGAUGGGAUUAGCUAGUAGGUGGGGUACUGGCUCACCUAGGCGACGAUCCCUAGCUGGUCUGAGAGGAUGACCAGCAACACUGGAACUGAGACAAGGUCGAGACUCCUAAGGGAGGCAGCAGUGGGGAAUAUUGCACAAUGGGCGCAAGCCGGAUGCAGCCAUGCCGCGUGUGUGAAGAAGGCCUUCGGGUUGUAAAGCACUUUCAGCGAGGAGGCGUUAAACGCAGAAGAAGAACAGGCUAACUCCGUGCCAGCAGCCGCGGUAAUUC
RNAcentral lists this ribosomal RNA (406 nucleotides) under uncultured bacterium. RNAcentral's name for it is "partial 16S ribosomal RNA". It matches the Rfam family "Bacterial small subunit ribosomal RNA", at positions 30 to 526 of the family's 1533-position model. The record is from RNAcentral.